GGCAACAAAGACUCCCUUCUCUGUCGAAUGAAUCUUCAAAUCAUCAUCUUCAAACCACGACUCCGAUCACGGUUUCCAGUUUACUUUAUCUCAGGUGACAGGGGCAGGAGAACACUUCACAAAAUGCACUUUGAUAGCGAGCGAGAUCUUUGAAAUUCAAUCAGAACAGCACUGGGUGAGUAAGAAAUAGGAUUCUUUUCUUGUCUGAGUCGCUAGCGUAGAAGUUUUCUAUCACAGUUAUCGGUAUUCUUUUCAUUUCGGCCAAGCCAGUAAUAGAAGACAUCGACGGUAAGACCAGCAAGUCUAGCGGCAAAUCCUUCAAACAGGAAGGCUCUAGACUGACAGAUUGAUGAGUUCAGUUCUUUUUCCUGAAUUGGGAGAGCAAGAUUCUCUCUUCAUUUUUGGGGGGGAGCGGAGCCUAGCCCUAUAGCUAUAGGCUAUAUAAUAUUCGAUUCUAUUUCCUCUGCUUUGAAUAGUUAGAAUAAAACUCAUUGCUCAUUCAUUCAGAGCUCUUGUCGGUAAAGUAGAUCGAGAGAGAGAAUUGGCUUCUCGAGAAUCUGCUGGAGUCAGAUCAGUAGGGGAGUUCACACCGGGACUUUCUUAAUAGAGAAAGAAUAACCCAUACCCUGCACUUUCUUAUAGGGAAAGGCGAUAACACGACCUGUGGAUUCUUUUUAUUCCCUUUCUUCCGAAUCUCUAUCUCUGAUUGACUAAGAUUCCUUAACGGAGUGUUUCUGCCAGCAAUCCUGUUAGUUCCUUUCUUUCAGUUGUAUCCCUUUUCGCUGUAGUGCUUGAAGCUGUGAGCCAAUCUGAUAGUUACCUUGCCUUAUAAGAGAUUCCUUUGAAAAAGAAAGAGAAAGCUAGCGUAGAAGUUUUCUAUCACAGUUAUCGGUAUUCUUUUCAUUUCGGCCAAGCCAGUAAUAGAAGACAUCGACGGUAAGACCAGCAAGUCUAGCGGCAAAUCCUUCAAACAGGAAGGCUCUAGACUGACUGAUUGAUGAGUUCAGUUCUUUAUCUAAGGCCAUGCCCUCCGUAGAGGUAGGAGUCUCAGGUAGUCCAGCUUUGAGGAAAGGCGUUGUUCUUAUCCGGUACUCGGUUUCUUCGUUAGAUCAGAUUUCUUUCUCAUUUUUGAGUUUAGGAAUAGCGUUGAAUCUCGAGAAUGGGAAUGUCUGACUUUUUUCUUUCUUUUUUCCCCUGAGUCAGAUNN
RNAcentral lists this long non-coding RNA (1207 nucleotides) under Panax ginseng (ginseng). RNAcentral describes it as "long non-coding RNA (PGIN_LNC005952)". Lineage: Eukaryota; Viridiplantae; Streptophyta; Magnoliopsida; Apiales; Araliaceae. The record is from RNAcentral.